GUAAUGUUUGAUUUUAGCUUGUGCUUUGUAUUGUUGUUAAGAUUGCAUGAAAGUUUUAGCGGGAUAGUAAUUGAUUAAUUGGUUUUAUAUCAAUUGGUUUGUCAUUAGAAAGUAAAAUUAUAAGAUUAUAUAAUCUCAGCAUAUAUUAUUAUUAAAUGCAUAAAAGUGUGAAUUAGUAGCAACAUUUCAAGUCUGAUGAAUAUUGUGCCAGCAUUCGCGGUUAUACUUUAAGGCUAAGCAAAGUAGGUUAUUAUUAGUUAAGUGAAUUUAUAAAUUAAUUUUUAUUAUGGGUAAUAAAAGGUGAAAUUUAUAUAUUAUCUUGUAAUUUUAUUAAUAAUUUGUAAUUGAAGCUAGUAAAAUUUGAUCAUAAACUAGGAUUAGAUACCCUAUUAUUUCAAGUGAUGUUUAAAAAAUAAUAAAUUAGUAGUAGAUAAACACUUAAAAAUUAAAAAAUUUGGCGGUAAUUUAAUCUUUUCAGAGGAAUUUGUUUCUUAAUCGAUAAUCCACGUAAUAUCUUACUUGUUUUUGUAUGACUCAGUUUGUAUACCAUCAUUAUCAGGUAAUUCUUAAAAGAAAAAUUACUAAACCUAAUUGUUUAUGAAAAUUAGAUCAUGGUGCAGCUUAUAAAUAAGUAGAAAUGAAUUACAAUAAAUUGUUUUAGACGAAUUAGUGAAUUAAUAUUGACUAUAAAGGAGGAUUUGAUUGUAAACAAGGUUUAAUAAGCCUUUUUGACAUGAGCACUAAAUUAUGUACAUAUCGCCCGUCGCUUUCAUUAUAAAUGGAAUAAGUCGUAACAUAGUAGAUAUACUGGAAAGUGUAUCUAGAAUUA
RNAcentral lists this non-coding RNA (829 nucleotides) under Plagusia squamosa. The record is from RNAcentral. Lineage: Eukaryota; Metazoa; Arthropoda; Malacostraca; Decapoda; Plagusiidae.